UGACCUGAGCUGAAGUCAGAUGCUUAACCAACUGAGCCACCCAGACAAGGAGAGGAGAUUGAGAGGAGCCAAGAGUGGAGCACAGAUGCCAACAGGUGCCAAGAAGAAACACCGGCACCCUGUCCCCUACGGGGCAAAACCAAGGGAGGUCAUUGCAAUAUCUGGAUUUACUUAGAUGAAUCUCAAGUUUGGAAUAGCACCCAGCCAAUAGGACACCUGGGUAACAAGGACUGAGUGUGUAUGUCUAAGAGGAGAGAGUUUGGAGAACAGAUCAUCAGCCACAAAGGUAAGUUUUAAAUAAUCCACUUUCUUUUAACUAACUGUGUUCAGGCUUGAAGCUAAAGGAGAUGAGCCAA
This is a long non-coding RNA of Herpailurus yagouaroundi (jaguarundi), 356 nucleotides long. RefSeq lists it as uncharacterized. NCBI's taxonomy places the organism in Eukaryota, Metazoa, Chordata, Mammalia, Carnivora, Felidae. The record is from RefSeq and is a predicted model, not a curated record. The transcript has 3 exons.